UGGGGUAGUAUUUAGUACGUAGGCGCCAUGGAUGGCGAAUUGUGGAUGCUGCUAGCAAGAACCAGCAGUAUUUCUUGAAGAUUUUCUACCGCCA
Non-coding RNA from Glossina pallidipes, 94 nucleotides. The record is from Rfam. Lineage: Eukaryota; Metazoa; Arthropoda; Insecta; Diptera; Glossinidae.